Molecule: long non-coding RNA, 516 nt
Organism: Mandrillus leucophaeus (drill)
Lineage: Eukaryota; Metazoa; Chordata; Mammalia; Primates; Cercopithecidae
Exons: 3
Source: RefSeq, a predicted model, not a curated record
GCUCCUCCACAAUUACUGCAGAGUCACAAGUGGAAUUUCCGCCUGGUGUUUUAUGUCAGAAUCCGUAUGAAAGACUGCAGCAUGCUGAGUGAGCUUUCCAUUCUGGCUGAGGAUGUGAUGCAGGGUCCACCCCCUGCAGGCCACAGGUUUGCCUGGAGGCAAAGCAUUCAGUCUUUCCAUUGGCCUGACAAUUUGAACCAAGCUCGAGGCCCACAGACAAAAUGCAGUAGCAACUAGAGAGGGCCUGCCUGGUGGCCCUCCCCGUAAGAAGGUAUUCUUCCUGCUCCAUUGACAUCAGGCUUAUUAGCCAUGUUUCUGGAUUUGAUCCAUGUUAUAAUAAAGAGAACAUGGAGCAGGGCUGCAGCUGAUCUUCAAAGAGCAUGAACACAAGCCAGACAGAAGCCAUUGUUGUAAACCCUGAAGAUUUGGGGGAUAUUAUUGCAACACAACUCAGCCCAAACUGACUAAUACAACAAGUUUCUAUGUAUACAUGGAAAUGUAUGUGGUCUUAGCCUC